Molecule: ribosomal RNA, 228 nt
Filed under: uncultured bacterium
Lineage: Bacteria
Description: partial 16S ribosomal RNA
Rfam family: Bacterial small subunit ribosomal RNA
Source: RNAcentral
CGGACGUAGGUAACCUGCCUUGUAGCGGGGGAGUAACUAUUGGAAACGAUAGCUAAUACCGCAUAACAAUGGAUGACACAUGUCAUUUAUUUGAAAGGGGCAAUUGCUCCACUACAAGAUGGACCUGCGUUGUAUUAGCUAGUAGGUGAGGUAACGGCUCACCUAGGCGACGAUACAUAGCCGACCUGAGAGGGUGAUCGGCCACACUGGGACUGAGACACGGCCCAG